RNAcentral lists this ribosomal RNA (407 nucleotides) under Hepatozoon canis. RNAcentral's name for it is "SSU rRNA". It matches the Rfam family "Eukaryotic small subunit ribosomal RNA", at positions 260 to 665 of the family's 1831-position model. Lineage: Eukaryota; Apicomplexa; Hepatozoidae. The record is from RNAcentral.
AGCAAAUCGCAAAGUGAAAACAGGCGAUAAAUCAUUCAAGUUUCUGACCUAUCAGCUUUCGACGGUAUGGUAUUGGCUUACCGUGGCAGUGACGGUUAACGGGGGAUUAGGGUUCGAUUCCGGAGAGGGAGCCUGAGAAACGGCUACCACAUCUAAGGAAGGCAGCAGGCGCGCAAAUUACCCAAUUCUAACAGUUUGAGAGAGGUAGUAACAAGAAAUAACAAUACAAGGCAGUUAAAAUGCUUUGUAAUUGGAAUGAUAGAAAUUUAAACCCUUUUUGAAGUAUCAAUUGGAGGGCAAGUCUGGUGCCAGCAGCCGCGGUAAUUCCAGCUCCAAUAGCGUAUAUUAAAAUCGUUGCAGUUAAAAAGCUCGUAGUUGAAGUUCUGCUAAAAGUAACCGGUCUGCUU